AUUGAACGCUGGCGGCAUGCUUUACACAUGCAAGUCGAACGGCAGCGCGGGCUUCGUCCUGGCGGCGAGUGGCGAACGGGUGAGUAAUACAUCGGAACGUGCCCAGUAGUGGGGGAUAGCUCGGCGAAAGCCGGAUUAAUACCGCAGACGACCUGAGGGUGAAAGCGGGGGAUCUUUGGACCUCGCGCUAUUGGAGCGGCCGAUGCCAGAUUAGCUAGUUGGUGGGGUAAAGGCCUACCUAGGCGAGGAUCUGUAGCUGGUCUGAGUGGACGAGUGGCCACACUGGGACUGAGACACGGCCCAGACUCCUACGGGAGGCAGCAGUGGGGAAUUUUGGACAAUGGGCGAAAGCCUGACACAGCAAUGCCGAGUGUGUGAUGAAGGCCUUCGGGUUGUAAAGCACUUUUGGCGGGAACGAAAAGGACUGUGCCAAUACCACGGUUCGAUGACGGUACCCGCAGAAUAAGCACCGGCUAACUACGUG
This 484-nucleotide ribosomal RNA is filed under the name uncultured bacterium. RNAcentral describes it as "partial 16S ribosomal RNA". It matches the Rfam family "Bacterial small subunit ribosomal RNA", at positions 29 to 507 of the family's 1533-position model. The record is from RNAcentral.